AUUUAAAUUUCAGCACCUCAUCAUAACAAUUUAUUAUCAUAGAGUGCAGUGCUACAAGUUCUCUACCAUGAGAAGAAUCUUAGAAAAUAACAUGGAACAAAUCAGAUGUGCUUAUUAUAAUAAAUUAAAAAUACAUUUAAUAAUAAACAUCAUGCAUAGUUAGAGACAUUGGGGGAGCAUCUCUGUGCUGUGACCCACAUGGUGGAAGUAGGUCAACAGUCAGACGGCGUGUCAGACAGAUAAUGUCACCAUGCUGCGCUCACUGGAUUCACGCAACAUUUAGGAAACUCGUGUCACGCAUCGAGCCCGCAGGCGGCCACACAUCAUGCAAUAUCGCGCUUACAUGUAACCGUGAACAUUUUUGCUGCGUUUCUGGCCGCAUCUGAAAAUGAAAGGGGCAUGUCUGCGGGAGGAGACUCGAACACCUAUAAGCGUGCAAUAUGCAGAAGUGCACGCUGAUUUAUGUUGCUAGGCAAAAUGAAAUCUCCCAGUACACAUGUGGACCAACUGCGGCAAAACUGGGAGCCGCGCCCCCCAGACUGGAUUUUCUUUUCUUUUUUUUUUUCUGCCAUCAGUCCUUGGGGUCUUCUGACAGUGCGUUGCCACACGGAUCAUGUAGAGAUUACAUCACGAUGUUUCGCUUCUUGAGAUAUUUAGUCUACUUCAUGCUGCCAAGCUGGUCAGGAAGUAACCAGGCCAGGAUGUGGAUAGGGACACUCGACCCCCAAAAAUUACAAAAGGUAAUGGCAUAGCAAUCGUUUUAUGAUGAUCUCAAACAUUUAAGUGAGAAAAAAAACAGAACAGUAAGGAGGCCAAAUUUUGUUUCGUAAAUGUUCAGAGCUAUGAAUUAGGGCUGGUAUCAUAUCUGUAAUUUUCUUUUCUUUCUUUUUUAUUUUGCAACAAAAACUGUCACAAUGCCAUGUUUUAUGCCAGAAGUUGUACGUUUCAGGAUUUGUUGACAAUAACAUAUCAAAGCAUGCCAGCUGCGUCAAUAACUUUAAUUUCUCAACAGCACAAACCAUGAAUAACUUAUUGCUCUUCCUAAUCUGUAUUUAAACGACAGAGACUUGGUCAUAGUGGGGUACACUGAUGYUUGCAGGACAGUGCAGAGGAUUACAUUUUAACAUGUUAAAUUAAAUGCAACAUCAACAUUUUACAUUUUUAACAAACCUGUGCUCUGUUAUUCCCAUAAGACAAAUAAACAGCAUGUCUAUAGCUCACAUGAGAAAGCUGGCCUAUGGAGGGACCCACUGACGCUGAAAACGUAUCAAUGUGUAAUAAAAAAUUAUAACAAUUGGGAUUGAACGGCUGGAGCAACUCUAAGAGAUCUGAUGAAGCAAAAAUAUUUACAACGAGAGAGAUUGGCGAUGAGGAUUCCUGACGGAGGGACAAAUAGGACUAGAAGUGACACAAUUAGGACACCAGCUUGGAUCCAACUGGGGCUUUUCAUGAGCAAGACUCUGCUUAGUGUGUGACUCCAAACUGACAUAAAAAAAAACAAGACACAGGCCAGACAUGACACCUUAACAAGAGCUUCAUGUAACAUUUGCUUAUGCUUAAAUUAUACAAGGAGAACAUUACUUUCCACGACAAUAUUUACUGAGAUAUCAAAUAAAAGACGGUUAAUAAGGCCUGAGCAAUGACACUUCAGAUUACAACACCUAAAGUAAUGAAAUAAAAAGAUUCUGGCCAUGCAGGUUAGGAUUUUAAGUGCAAGCAACACAGCAGUGAGUAGAUACAGUAGAUCUAAAGUCAUAUAAGAUGGAUCAUGUAAGCAGAUAUCUCCUGCAUGUUUGAGCUGAUAUUUUCUCCCGG
This is a non-coding RNA of Poecilia reticulata (guppy), 1815 nucleotides long. NCBI's taxonomy places the organism in Eukaryota, Metazoa, Chordata, Actinopteri, Cyprinodontiformes, Poeciliidae. The record is from RefSeq and is a predicted model, not a curated record.